UACGUAGGGUGCGAGCGUUAAUCGGAAUUACUGGGCGUAAAGCGUGCGCAGGCGGUUCGUUAAGUUCGAUGUGAAAGCCCCGGGCUCAACCUGGGAACUGCAUUGGAAACUGGCGAGCUUGAGUAUGGGAGAGGGAUGUAGAAUUCCAGGUGUAGCGGUGAAAUGCGUAGAUAUCUGGAGGAAUACCGGUGGCGAAGGCGGCAUCCUGGACCAUUACUGACGCUGAGGCGCGAAAGCUAGGGGAGCAAACGGG
Molecule: ribosomal RNA, 253 nt
Filed under: uncultured bacterium
Lineage: Bacteria
Description: partial 16S ribosomal RNA
Rfam family: Bacterial small subunit ribosomal RNA
Source: RNAcentral